UACGAAGGGGGCUAGCGUUGCUCGGAAUCACUGGGCGUAAAGGGUGCGUAGGCGGGUCUUUAAGUCAGGGGUGAAAUCCUGGAGCUCAACUCCAGAACUGCCUUUGAUACUGGAGACCUUGAGUCCGGGAGAGGUGAGUGGAAUUGCGAGUGUAGAGGUGAAAUUCGUAGAUAUUCGCAAGAACACCAGUGGCGAAGGCGGCUCACUGGCCCGGAACUGACGCUGAGAUGCGAAAGCGUGGGGAGCAAACAGG
This 253-nucleotide ribosomal RNA is filed under the name uncultured bacterium. RNAcentral describes it as "partial 16S ribosomal RNA". It matches the Rfam family "Bacterial small subunit ribosomal RNA", at positions 524 to 776 of the family's 1533-position model. The record is from RNAcentral.